AUACAGAGGGUGCAAGCGUUAAUCGGAUUUACUGGGCGUAAAGCGCGCGUAGGUGGCUAAUUAAGUCAAAUGUGAAAUCCCCGAGCUUAACUUGGGAAUUGCAUUCGAUACUGGUUAGCUAGAGUAUGGGAGAGGAUGGUAGAAUUCCAGGUGUAGCGGUGAAAUGCGUAGAGAUCUGGAGGAAUACCGACGGCGAAGGCAGCCAUCUGGCCUAAUACUGACACUGAGGUGCGAAAGCAUGGGGAGCAAACAGGAUUAGAUACCCUGGUAGUCCAUGCCGUAAACGAUGUCUACUAGCCGUUGGGGCCCUUGAGGCUUUAGUGGCGCAGCUAACGCGAUAAGUGGACCGCCUGGGGAGUACGGUCGCAAGACUAAAACUCAAAUGAAUUGGCGGGG
This 396-nucleotide ribosomal RNA is filed under the name uncultured bacterium. RNAcentral's name for it is "partial 16S ribosomal RNA". It matches the Rfam family "Bacterial small subunit ribosomal RNA", at positions 523 to 918 of the family's 1533-position model. The record is from RNAcentral.